Molecule: ribosomal RNA, 505 nt
Filed under: uncultured bacterium
Lineage: Bacteria
Description: partial 16S ribosomal RNA
Rfam family: Bacterial small subunit ribosomal RNA
Source: RNAcentral
GACGAACGCUGGCGGCGUGCCUAAUACAUGCAAGUAGAACGCACAGUUUAUACCGUAGCUUGCUACACCAUAGACUGUGAGUUGCGAACGGGUGAGUAACGCGUAGGUAACCUGCCUGGUAGCGGGGGAUAACUAUUGGAAACGAUAGCUAAUACCGCAUAAUAUUAAUUAUUGCAUGAUAAUUAAUUGAAAGGUGCAAUUGCACCACUACCAGAUGGACCUGCGUUGUAUUAGCUAGUAGGUGAGGUAACGGCUCACCUAGGCGACGAUACAUAGCCGACCUGAGAGGGUGAUCGGCCACCCUGGGACUGGGACACGGCCCAGACUCCUACGGGAGGCAGCAGUAGGGGAUCUUCGGCCAUGGACGGAAGUCUGACCGGGCAACGCCGCGUGAGUGAAGAAGGUUUUCGGAUCGUAAAGCUCUGUUGUAAGAGAAGAACGGGUGUGAGAGUUGAAAGUUCACACUGUGACGGUAUCUUACCAGAAAGGGACGGCUAACUACGUG